UACGUAGGGGGCAAGCGUUGUCCGGAAUUAUUGGGCGUAAAGAGCUCGUAGGCGGUCUGUCGCGUCUGCUGUGAAAACUCAGGGCUUAACCCUGAGCUUGCAGUGGGUACGGGCAGACUAGAGUGCGGUAGGGGAGACUGGAAUUCCUGGUGUAGCGGUGAAAUGCGCAGAUAUCGGGAAGAACACCCGUGGCGAAGGCGGCUCUCUGGAACGCAACUGACGCUGAGACGCGAAAGCGUGGGGAGCAAACAGG
This 253-nucleotide ribosomal RNA is filed under the name uncultured bacterium. RNAcentral describes it as "partial 16S ribosomal RNA". It matches the Rfam family "Bacterial small subunit ribosomal RNA", at positions 524 to 776 of the family's 1533-position model. The record is from RNAcentral.